AUUUUAAAUGAAAGGUUUUGACAUCAUAUGUGGGGGAUAGGGUCAGUAAAUUUGAGUAAAAUACAGACUUUGCUUAUCCCGUGUAAAUGGGCCACACGAAACACAGACCUGGGGGGUGGGGGGGUGUAAAUCCCCUGAGGUCCCCUGGUAAUACUAGUCU
Molecule: long non-coding RNA, 160 nt
Organism: Etheostoma spectabile (orangethroat darter)
Lineage: Eukaryota; Metazoa; Chordata; Actinopteri; Perciformes; Percidae
Exons: 3
Source: RefSeq, a predicted model, not a curated record